UGCCGAUAACUGACCAAGGCGGUGAGGGGUGACUGUUAAUCACUCGGUGGUAGGUUCGAUUCCUACAUCGGUAGCCA
RNAcentral lists this transfer RNA (77 nucleotides) under Pseudomonas phage PE09. Its description in RNAcentral is "tRNA-Asn". Lineage: Duplodnaviria; Heunggongvirae; Uroviricota; Caudoviricetes; Vandenendeviridae. The record is from RNAcentral.